This 68-nucleotide transfer RNA is filed under the name Simulium noelleri. RNAcentral describes it as "tRNA-Ile". The record is from RNAcentral. Lineage: Eukaryota; Metazoa; Arthropoda; Insecta; Diptera; Simuliidae.
AAUGAGUUGCCUGAUAAAAGGGUUAUCUUGAUAGGGUAAAUUAUAUAAUUUUGUAAUUAUACUCAUUA